This 1903-nucleotide unclassified non-coding RNA is filed under the name Hevea brasiliensis (rubber tree). The record is from RNAcentral. Lineage: Eukaryota; Viridiplantae; Streptophyta; Magnoliopsida; Malpighiales; Euphorbiaceae.
UCUUCAUCGCAUACUCCACAAGGUCAUGCAAAAGGUGUUUGCUUUGUUGCUGGCUGAAUUUCGCAAGUUAGGUGCCACAAUCAUAUUUGCAAAUUUUUCAAAAGUUAUCAUAGACACUGGAAAGCUCAGUCUAUCUGCUGCAAAAGCUUACUGUGAUAGCUUGCUCAAAACUUUGCAAUCUAGAGAGCUGUUUGAGUGGAUUGAGCUUGAGCCACUGCAGUUCUGGCAUUCCUUGCUUUUCAUGGAUCAGUAUAACUAUGGUGGAAUUCCAGCCAGAGCUGAUGACAGUUCACAAAGUGAAUCACAAGGGGAACAUUCCCAAAGAGAAGAAUCGCAAGUGGAUAUUGUAUCAAGCUGGAACAUUGCUGAAUACUUACCCAAGAAAAUUCAAGAUCAUUUUGUUUUAAUUGUCUCAGAGUUUAUGUUUAUUCCCUGGGAUUAUGCACAAAAGCAGGCUGCAAACAGAGCAUCUUUGCAGAAUGUCAGCUUAUGUACUCCAUCAAUCACCAUUGCAGCUGCUGAGACAUUUGAAUCACACUUGGUUGAGUAUCUUAGAGGGCAGAUCAGCACAUACUUUACAGACAAACUGCUUGGAAUUGUUCGUGAUACCCUUCUUCAUAUGAAGGGGAUAAACAAGUCUGAGAAUGAUCAACAAAUUUCAUCUAGUUUCCCACAACUUGUGGGUAACAUUAAUAGAGGGGAUCCUGCACUGGAAUUUAUUAAGCAUGUGUGUGCUGUUCUGGCCCUUGACCACAAUGUGCAGCAUGAAGUUCUGGUGAUGAGAAAGAAUCUGUUAAAAUAUGUGCGAGUACGGGAGUUUGCUCCUGAAGCUGAGUUUCAUGAUCCCUGCCCUUCCUUUGUCUUGCCAAACGUAAUUUGCAGUUACUGCAAUGACUGCAGAGAUCUGGACCUGUGUCGUGAUUCAGCUUUACUGGCUCAGGAGUGGCGCUGUGCUGUCCCACAGUGCGGCCAGCCUUACGACCGAGAGGUGAUGGAGAAUUCUCUUCUUCAAAUUGUACGGCAGAGGGAACGUCUCUAUCAUUUGCAGGAUCUGGUGUGCAUUAGGUGCAAUCAGGUCAAAGCCGCACAUUUAGCGGAACAGUGUGCAUGUGCUGGAUCCUACAGAUGCAAGGAAGAUUUGUCUGAAUUCCGCAGCAAAAUGCAGAUUUUCUUAAAUGUAGCCAUUCGCCAGAAGUUUCAGCUCCUUCAAGAGUGUACUUCAUGGAUUUUAGAAAUUCAUUAGCUGUGGGCGUUGGUGUUUCAAUUUCGUAGCAUUCAGCAAAAAUUUCAUGUUUCUUGUCUGGCCACUGAUGGCAACUGGACUUGCCUGCAUACAAAGGUACGAAAUGUAGCUCAUCUGUAAAUCAAUUCAGAUGAGUGAAUGCAACUAGCAGAUGUUGAAGAAUGGCUGAGCACCUGAGGUGACGUUUGAAAGAAGUGUUGGUGAGAUUGUAAAAUUUCCAAUCGAAAAAGGUGAUCACAUUAAUUGAGGCGAUAAAUCUUCAAAUCUCAGUUGCUAAAUUCUGAUGAAGCAGUUGAUGCAAAUGGACUGGGUGCUGUAGUCAGUUGUGUCGAUCAUUAGUAGUGAUGAUGCAUAUUGAGGCAACCACUAAGGGAAAAUUUUAGAAGGUCCUGAAUUAAUUUUAUGUUCUUCCCUCCCCUCCCCUUCCCCAGUUUAUUUGUUGCAGUGGAAGGAAAGAGUAGGAGGAAUUUUUAGAUAUAAAUGUGUCAUCACACAAACUAUUACAUUGUUCAUAAACUUAUUUGUUGAUAUAUGUAUCCAAAUAUGAAAAUUUCAUUUUUCAUCUUGCUAUUGCAAUAGUUAUGUAAACUAAGGAGUGGAUUUGGUGUAAUGGUGAAGUUACUCCAUUUGUAACUUGGAGGUCAUGGGUUUGAGCUGUGA